RNAcentral lists this ribosomal RNA (467 nucleotides) under uncultured bacterium. RNAcentral describes it as "partial 16S ribosomal RNA". It matches the Rfam family "Bacterial small subunit ribosomal RNA", at positions 28 to 506 of the family's 1533-position model. The record is from RNAcentral.
GACGAACGCUGGCGGCGUGCUUAACACAUGCAAGUCGAACGGAAAGGCCCUGCUUUUGUGGGGUGCUCGAGUGGCGAACGGGUGAGUAACACGUGAGUAACCUGCCCUUGACUUUGGGAUAACUUCAGGAAACUGGGGCUAAUACCGGAUAGGAGCUCCUGCUGCAUGGUGGGGGUUGGAAAGUUUCGGCGGUUGGGGAUGGACUGGCGGCUUAUCAGCUUGUUGGUGGGGUAGUGGCUUACCAAGGCUUUGACGGGUAGCCGGCCUGAGAGGGUGACCGGCCACAUUGGGACUGAGAUACGGCCCAGACUCCUACGGGAGGCAGCAGUGGGGAAUAGUGCACAAUGGGCGGAAGCCUGAUGCAGCAACGCCGCGUGCGGGAUGACGGCCUUCGGGUUGUAAACCGCCUUCGCCUGUGACGAAGCGUGAGUGACGGUAAUGGGUAAAGAAGCACCGGCUAACUACGU